AGUGGAAUAGCUGGGUCAAAUGGUGGUUCCAUUCCAAGUUUUAUGAGGAAUCUUCAUACUGCUUUGUGGAGUGGUUGCAGCACCAAUUUGCAGCCCCACCAGCAAU
RNAcentral lists this microRNA precursor (106 nucleotides) under Marmota monax (woodchuck). The record is from RNAcentral. Lineage: Eukaryota; Metazoa; Chordata; Mammalia; Rodentia; Sciuridae.